UAUAAUUAUGCUCCAUGAAUUAGUUAGGAGUUAAAUUUUCUAGUAGAGUGUGGCUCAGUGUCACAUCUAGAGCACAGGUAGCCAAGUCACCCCCAGAAGUGCUGGGAGAAUCUCUUCUAACCAAGAAGAAAGCAAAUGUUAUAUAUCAAUAUAGCAAUUAAAAUAAAGCAAUUGUCAUUUAAUAAACUCAUUUUCCCCAUAAAUUAAUGACUCACUUGCAUGUAUAAAGGGAAUAAACUGACUUGAAUUGGUUCAGCAGAGAAGAGCACUACAGCCACACACAGCAUCAUGAAUGAGCCUUAGGGACACAAUAGACAGACUGACAGCUGACUACAGACCCAUGAGAAGACAGUCAGAACUCAGAACAACUUCCCACCAUGUAAUCCCACUAGUAAUAAAUGCAUCAUAUUAAACCAUUUGCUUCUAGAAUGACAGUAUGCAACAACAGAUAACUGAUAACAACAAUCAGAGUGAACAGAACUGAAGGAAAAUAUCAUAAUCAGCCACUUGUCACUGUAGGCCUUUGUUCCAAAGUUGAAGAUGACAUUCAUGAUUAUUCCUACUGAAGUUUAUUUCAGAAAACUGCAUUGAAAAGUGACUCCAUCAGAUUCCUUUGUAAGUAAAACAGGAGAGGUUGGAAGAACAUGUAUGCUUGGCUGACACGUAUGACUAUGAGUCACAGAACUGACAGGAAUUCAAGCUCUCUGGCGAGUCAUUGUUUGGCCAUUUAUGUACAUAUAUGACAUAUCUAUAGAUCACACAUAUAAUAGAUAUACUGUAUGAGAUUGAUAUAGUUCUUUCCGUAUGUCUCCAGUGAUUACAACAAUAUUUAGAGUAGUGGGAGAUGCUUCAUUUUGAACAAUAGAGGGAAUCAUAGUUUUAAGCAACAAUGGAAGUUUUCAAGUGGAGGCUGAAAGAUCAUUCAAAGGAAACAUAAUUACGCCAAGCAAUACUUCAUCCCAAGCAUAAAUUCCUUUACACACAGACACAGAUCUUAUAUACAUCAAUAAGUAAACAUACACCAUACAAAUAGUUUACAUAGUAAUAAAUGCAUGACUUAAAAUUUUGCUUCUUCACACUUCAGGUUGUCUUUGCCUGUAAGCACAUAUUACGUCAAACUAUGUUAUGGUAGUGAGAUAUGAAGAAAUGAUGUACAAGAAGUGUUAAACUGUGCUCUUCUAGUUUCCUCUCCUAUGAAAUGAUAUAAAUGGCUUUGGUUACCAAGUGCAGUGUAAUUCCAUAGAAGUAGUACCAAUCAAGAUUUUUCUUUCAGUGAAACAAAAGAAAAAUUAUUCAGUAUGAUAUAUUUCAUUUCAAAAGAAAUUGUUCUUAAGAAAUUCACAUAGUUCCAUGAGAUAAAUGGCAGUAUUCAAAUAGUUCAUCCAAGGCUGGGAAUCAAUUUGGGAGAGGAGAAAA
This is a long non-coding RNA of Phyllostomus discolor (pale spear-nosed bat), 1416 nucleotides long. RefSeq lists it as uncharacterized. The transcript is spliced from 2 exons. NCBI's taxonomy places the organism in Eukaryota, Metazoa, Chordata, Mammalia, Chiroptera, Phyllostomidae. The record is from RefSeq and is a predicted model, not a curated record.